CCUACGGGAGGCAGCAGUAGGGAAUCUUUCACAAUGGGCGAAAGCCUGAUGGAGCAACGCCGCGUGCAGGAUGAAGGCCUUCGGGUUGUAAACUGCUUUUAUAAGCGAGAAAUAUGAUGGUAACUUAUGAAUAAGGAUCGGCUAACUACGUGCCAGCAGCCGCGGUCAUACGUAGGAUCCGAGCAUUAUCCGGAGUGACUGGGUGUAAAGAGUUGCGUAGGUGGCAUAAUAAGUAGCUAGUGAAAUCUGGUGGCUCAACCAUUCAGACUAUUAGCUAAACUGUUAAGCUCGAGACCGUGAGGGGUAACUGGAAUUUCUAGUGUAGGAGUGAAAUCCGUAGAUAUUAGAAGGAACACCAAUAGCGUAGGCAGGUUGCUGGGACGGUUCUGACACUAAGGCACGAAAGCGUAGGGAGCAAACGGGAUUAGAUACCCCUGUAGUC
RNAcentral lists this ribosomal RNA (442 nucleotides) under uncultured bacterium. Its description in RNAcentral is "partial 16S ribosomal RNA". It matches the Rfam family "Bacterial small subunit ribosomal RNA", at positions 338 to 795 of the family's 1533-position model. The record is from RNAcentral.